Molecule: non-coding RNA, 91 nt
Organism: Ataeniobius toweri
Lineage: Eukaryota; Metazoa; Chordata; Actinopteri; Cyprinodontiformes; Goodeidae
Source: the annotation of a GenBank genome assembly
GCUUGGUACGCUAUGCCGAGUGGUUAAGGCGAUGGACUGCUAAUCCAUUGUGCUUUGCACGUGUGGGUUUGAAUCCCAUCCUUGUCGAGCU